GACAGAGGGUGCAAACGUUGUUCGGAAUUACUGGGCGUAAAGCGCGCGCAGGCGGCCCGGUAAGUCGGAUGUGAAAUCCCACGGCUCAACCGUGGAACUGCAUUCGAUACUGUCGGGCUAGAGGCAGGUAGGGGAGAUCGGAAUUCCUGGUGUAGCGGUGAAAUGCGCAGAUAUCAGGAGGAACACCGGUGGCGAAGGCGGGUCUCUGGGCAACAACUGACGCUGAGGAGCGAAAGCGUGGGGAGCGAACAGG
This 253-nucleotide ribosomal RNA is filed under the name uncultured bacterium. RNAcentral's name for it is "partial 16S ribosomal RNA". It matches the Rfam family "Bacterial small subunit ribosomal RNA", at positions 524 to 776 of the family's 1533-position model. The record is from RNAcentral.